UCGCGGGACCAGGCUGAGGCCCCAUCUGGAUAAACUGAGUCAGAACCCAAGCACUGACAUGAGACGUGACGCAGUUAUCCGUGGCCUCAUACUAUUCCUUGGUGAAAAAGAAGAGAAACUUUUCGAAGAUUGCCUGGAGGACAAUCGCAGUGAUGCCACUCAACACAUAGUCAAGAUCCUGGUUGUCCAUGGUACUGAUGGAGAAGAACCAGUAGAUGUUUCCAUCAUUCUUGAAGGGAAGGAGGUAUUGACACGAUGCAACAGCACAGCCAAAGCUUCCACGUUGCUAAUGGGACUGAUUUAUUCCCCGAACCUUGCCUACCCCUCGACUCUGCGCUACACCUUUGAGGUGUUUCAAAAACUUUUCCUGGAACUGAAUGGGAUAAAGCUGUCACCAAAAGUACAUCUUUAAAGUUGAAGUUGCUGUCUGAAAGGAGUUUUCUUUCUUAAAUGUUCCUAAUGUUGUCAACAAAGGCAACUGCUGUCAUUCAUGCUCACAAGGUAAAGAAAAAGUUAAAAAUAACCUUUUUUUUAAAAGGUUUUAACAGAGGAUUUGAUGUUGUCCUCAAACUUUAAUGUUUUAACCGAAUGCUAAUAUAAAUAUGUUAAUGGAUGUUGUUGUUUAGAAUGUUGUUCAUGUCAGUACAGCAUAUUUUGUCAGGUCAAACCCUCAAUCUGUUUUGUCACCUGAUGUGCCCUGUUUAGUUUAAUGCGUCCAGGGGUCAAAAACAUUUUGAUUUUCCAGUGAUAUGCUUUUUUUCUGUAUAGCGUAAUGAUCACUCAGUAAAGGUAAACAUUUUUUCUUGAUUGAUGCUUUAUUGAUUUACUGCUGCUGAGAUUUCAUUUAAUUUUUUGUCAUGUGAAAUGUUGACUGCUGUUUCAUGUACAGUUCUACAUAGCUGUAUAAAAUGAGGUGUUACGUAAGGUACCUGACAAAGGUUUAUGAAUAAAUAAUGGAAUUGUAUUUUAGCCGUGUGAUUAUUAAUAGUAUUUGGUAAUAUUUAUCAAAAGAGAAUUUGCAACAUUUACAUAAAUGAAUUAGGUAAUAUAACUUCAAACAACCAAGUAAUUAAAAUGAUCAAACAGAAUAAAAAGUACUUGAUAAUUUUACGACAGUAAAUAUCAAAGAUAAAUAAAAUCUACUCAAUAUUUUGAUGUUGUAAAUGUAUAUGUAUACAAAAAAUAUAGUAUAUUGUACUUAAUUUGUGUGUGUAAUAAAAAUUGAAACAUCAGUUAAACUAAGUAACACUUACCUAAUAUUUUCACAAAUGUUACCAUCAGAAAUAAGUAGAUUUUACUUAAUACUAUUAAGGAA
This is a long non-coding RNA of Gasterosteus aculeatus aculeatus (three-spined stickleback), 1315 nucleotides long. Lineage: Eukaryota; Metazoa; Chordata; Actinopteri; Perciformes; Gasterosteidae. The record is from Ensembl.